UUAAUAAUGUAAAAUUAAAAAUUAGAGUAGUAAUAGCUAUGAUCUUGAAACUUAAAGAAUUUGGCGGUAUUUUAGUCUAUUCAGAGGAACCUGUAAUAUAAUCGAUAUUCCACGAUGAACCUUACUUAAUUUUGUGUUUUAAUUUGUAUAUCGCCGUUAUUUGAAAAUUUUAUAAGAAAAAUAAUUUUCUAAAAUUUUUAUUAAAAAAUAAAUCAGGUCAAGGUGCAGUUUAUAGUUAAGUUUUAUAUGGGUUACAAUAAAAUUAUUUAAAAUGAAUUAAAAGAAUUAAAAGGUGAAAUUUCUUUUUUGAAAGUGGAUUUGAUAAUAAAUUUUUAAAGAUAAAAAAAUUGAUU
Molecule: ribosomal RNA, 353 nt
Filed under: Syntormon pallipes
Lineage: Eukaryota; Metazoa; Arthropoda; Insecta; Diptera; Dolichopodidae
Description: partial 12S ribosomal RNA
Source: RNAcentral